This 463-nucleotide long non-coding RNA is filed under the name Malus domestica (apple). Its description in RNAcentral is "long non-coding RNA (MDOM_LNC002502)". The record is from RNAcentral. Lineage: Eukaryota; Viridiplantae; Streptophyta; Magnoliopsida; Rosales; Rosaceae.
UUGAGAAAGCGAGCGCCUCUUCGAUUGAUUCGGAGAACGAUGCCUCAUCGAUUUUUGAGAAAGCAAUCAUGAUGGGGGUCUGGCUCUCGAGAUUCGGGGAGCAGUGUCUCUUCGAUUUUUGAGAAAGUAAUCAUGUUGGGAGUCUGGCUCUCGAGAUUCGGAGGGCGGUGCCUCUUCGAUUUUGGAGCAAGCAAUCUUGUUGGGAGUGUUUUCUCGAAUGUGAGUAAAGGUUUGGCAUGUUUGCUAGUCUACCUUGCCACGAAGCACAGAGGUUGACACACAGGGACUUUCCAAUUAUCCAGCAAUGGUACUGUUCCUUUACCCUCUCUUCGAUUUUUAAGAAAGUAGUCAUGUUGGGAGUCUGGCUCUCGAGAUUCGGAGGACGGUGCCUCUUCGAUUUUGGAGCAAGCAAUCUUAUUGGGAGUGUUUUCUCGAAUGUGAGUAAAGGUUGGGCAUGUUUGCU